CCUACGGGAGGCAGCAGUGAGGAAUAUUGGUCAAUGGACGGAAGUCUGAACCAGCCAUGCCGCGUGCAGGAAGACGGCUCUAUGAGUUGUAAACUGCUUUUGUACAAGGGUAAACCUGAAUACGUGUAUUCAGCUGAAAGUACUGUACGAAUAAGGAUCGGCUAACUCCGUGCCAGCAGCCGCGGUAAUACGGAGGAUCCAAGCGUUAUCCGGAUUUAUUGGGUUUAAAGGGUGCGUAGUCGGAUAGAUAAGUUAGAGGUGAAAUGUCCGAGCUUAACUCGGGAACUGCCUCUAAUACUGUUGGUAGAGAGUGGAGGUGAGGUAGGCGGAAUGUGUGGGGUAGCGGGGAAAUGCUUAGAUAUCAUACAGAACACCGAUUGCGAAGGCAGUUUACCAGUCUAUAACUGACGUUGAGGCACGAAAGCGUGGGGAGCAAACAGGAUUAGAUACCCUAGUAGUC
RNAcentral lists this ribosomal RNA (460 nucleotides) under uncultured bacterium. RNAcentral describes it as "partial 16S ribosomal RNA". It matches the Rfam family "Bacterial small subunit ribosomal RNA", at positions 338 to 795 of the family's 1533-position model. The record is from RNAcentral.